GUGCAUGUGAUGAAGCAAAUCAGUAUGAAUGAAGUCAUGAUACUGUAAACGCUUUCUGAUGUG
Molecule: small nucleolar RNA, 63 nt
Organism: Procavia capensis (Cape rock hyrax)
Lineage: Eukaryota; Metazoa; Chordata; Mammalia; Hyracoidea; Procaviidae
Source: Ensembl